This is a small nucleolar RNA of Euleptes europaea (tarantolino), 75 nucleotides long. RefSeq annotates it as small nucleolar RNA SNORD59. The record is from RefSeq and is a predicted model, not a curated record. Lineage: Eukaryota; Metazoa; Chordata; Lepidosauria; Squamata; Sphaerodactylidae. The transcript has a single exon.
CCUUCAGUGAUGAGUAUCCUCUAUGACUUUCGUUCUUCUGAGAUUGCUGAAGCAAUUUUUUCUUAUCUGAGAAGG